RNAcentral lists this unclassified non-coding RNA (379 nucleotides) under Hevea brasiliensis (rubber tree). Lineage: Eukaryota; Viridiplantae; Streptophyta; Magnoliopsida; Malpighiales; Euphorbiaceae. The record is from RNAcentral.
ACCGAACAAGGUAAGCCUUGAAUAGUUGUGCCUGCCUCAAACUACAAGCAAAUAUUGCCUAGGACAAACCAGAAUGUUUGAGUUCACUAACGUUUAAAGGAGGUUUACACUGCCAUUUUCAUUUCAAUUUUGUGGUGAGGAUCAUAACCUAUCAAUUUGAAAUCAGCUGCCAUAAAAGAAUCUAUGUUCUUCUUCUCAGGAUUAAUCUUCAAAAUCGGAAACGGUUUUGGCAGUUUUUGAAGCUGUUCCUGGAGAGGCCUAACAUGAGUGCUAUAAACAUGAGCAUCCCCGAACACAUGGACAAAAUCACCCGGAGCAAGAUUACAAACGUGAGCAAUCAUGCAUGUAAGGAGGGCAUAAGAUGCAAUGUUGAAUGGCA